Coturnix japonica (Japanese quail) is the source of this 1324-nucleotide long non-coding RNA. Lineage: Eukaryota; Metazoa; Chordata; Aves; Galliformes; Phasianidae. The record is from Ensembl.
AAAUGCAGUGUAUCAGCAUCAGGAACAAUACACAUAAAUCAGAUGUAGCUGACAAAGUAGCAAAGACCUGGAGUCCCAUUAAAAUCAACGGAGACAUAGAGAACUGAUGUAUCGAAGGCUCUAGCUAGUCAUCUGUGCUCUCAACAGUGACAACCCUGUGGAUUUGUUCAUUCCAUCCUAAAGUGGACUUCCCAUCAUAAUAUUUUGUGCAUAGGUUUAGGAAAAUUUGAAUGGUGACAUCUCAAGAAGGGGGAAAGCAGGGACUGCACAAACCACACAAGAUGAGAGACCCAAAGACCCUGGAUAGCCUCAGACUGAGUUGCUUAAGGACACAUUGCUUUCCAAAGACCUUGAAGAAUGGUGAGCUACCAAGGAUUUUUCAGUCCCAGGUGAGCUUCCUGAUCAUUAGGCUGUCUCUUCUGUGUACUUUGCAGCUUAAUGAAUCUUUAAGAGAUUUUCUUCUGAGUGGAUCCAGUUUAGAAGGAAAGGAGGAGAUAACAUUUCUGUACAGCCUGUCAUGCAAGGGUGGUUGUGUGGCUUGAGGCCAAAUUCACUACUUGUCUUCUUCAUGGUUCUGAAGGUGCUCAAUUGGCUUUCUCCAGAGAAACACUUCGAAUAUAUUUUAUUCUUUAUGAUAUUCUCAAAGGAGACUUUAUCUGUCUCAUGGAAGUGACCCAGCAACUCUAUACUUGACCCAGUCUUCCUCCUCUCUGCAUUUCUGGUGAGUGGAUAGAAUGGCUCAAAGUGUUCUCAGAAGGAUCCCAGCAUCCUCACCAAGGCCUUUAGGGCUGGAGAUAGCAGAAGUUAUGGGUGUCCUAUGGGUUUAUGAACCCAUAUCCAACUCUGAGCUUCACUGGGAGGUGGGAGGACAGCUGGUUUUCUGCCCAUAACUAUGCUAGACCCAGUGAAGUUCCUUGCAAUCACUAAGAAGUUGUAGUGUAAGAAAAUGCCUCUGUGACUGGACCUCUUUUUGUUAUUUAAGACAUCCAAAUUUCUGCCUGUUCAGCUCCAAGUCUGGUUGCUGAGUACAGCUUCCAGUGAACUGAGGUCACUGAAGUUCUCUGCCUGUGUCUGAGGCCAUCAGGGUUUUAAGCUGUGGAUAAGAUGCUGAGGUUUAGGCUUUCUCUGAUUAUUGCCUUUCUGCGCUUUUCUAUCCAAUUUGAUGAAAUUACAGUGUUCAUAAUUGCAAUCAUUGUGGGUAGGUAUUUCUGUGUGCAUGUAAUUUACCAACUUUAAUGAGUAAAUAAGCAACUAACUGCUGCAGCAAGUGAUACUCCCCAAAUCUUUAAAUAAUAAUAAAUAAUAGUGCCACGAUGUGUACUCA